Odocoileus virginianus texanus is the source of this 1109-nucleotide non-coding RNA. The record is from RefSeq and is a predicted model, not a curated record. Lineage: Eukaryota; Metazoa; Chordata; Mammalia; Artiodactyla; Cervidae.
AACAUUUACUUUGAUAGAUAGAUAGAUAGAUAGAUAGAUAGAUAGAUAGAUAGAUGAUAGAUAGAUAGAUAGAUAGAUAGAUAGAUAGAUAGAUAGAUAAAAUUCUUUCCGUUUUGAAUGAGAAAGCUCCAUACAUUUGAAGGGCCAUUGAAAGACCAUCUUCAUUUCUCUCCUGUCUCCACAAAAUACUUCCCUAAGAGUUUUACAGAUGAGAAUGCCUUUGGCAUUUAAUCAUGCCUCCCACCUGCCCAGGGAGACCCAGCAAUCUCCCUGGGUGCCCUAGUUUGUGGUUCAUCAUUUCCCCUCUAGGAAGAAAUUAUUCUUUAAUGUUAACUCUGUCAAAGUAGUGCCCUUCCUAAUUGGGUUAAGAAUAAACUUGGCAAGAGUUCCUGCUAAGUCAGUUUAGAGAAAAUUCCCCCACCUUUUGAUAUCUGAUGAAGCCCUGGCCUAUCUUCAGCAAGAAUCCUGUAAGUAGGUUUAGCAACAAUCCUCCCACCUUGAUGUCUUCUCUUAGCAAUUUUCCAUCCACUUGUCCUUAUUGUAUUUGGAGUCUAGUGCAGUCUCUCUCCUUUAGUGUAAUGUACCCAUUACAAUAGUCCUGGAUAAAGUCCCUCUUUUAUCACGUCAGGAUAAUUAUUUCUUAACACGGAACAUGCUGACUAUGGAAGAUUAAAUUCAGAAGUGUCCCUUCUCCAAGGUGCAGCAUCUGUCUAAAUCUGAAAGGUAACUUUUCUGUGUCAUUUAACGGGGGAUCUUAUGUCCCCGAAGCCACUUGAGGUUUCAGGCAAGAGAAUGAGCGUUUCUAAUUCUGCCUUCUCACAAGAUUCCUGGCACUCAACUGAGAUGAAAGGAUGGUGGGAAAUGGUUUAUGUGACCACUGUCCCAGCUAGUGAAGAUCUGCUGGAGCUAGGUGACAGGGCUGUGGACUUUGGAAAGUAGAAGCAGAGGCAACCUCAGAGAAGGUGCCCAACUAGCUACUACUGCUUUCACCUUCACCCUCAGCUCUAGUCCUGCCCAGAAACCAGUGACUCCUCUGGCCUUUGGACUGUCAACUCCAUGGAAAAGGAAGCAUACAGGAUCUUAGUUCCUCAACCAAGGAUUGAACCCAA